AGCUGAAUUGCUGGGCAGGGUCUCCUUUGGCAGAUGUGGCGCCGUCAGACACCAGGGUGUGUCGGUGGUUGCCGGCCGGGCUGCUGCCAAAGGAAAUUUGCCCCGGAAUUCAUCU
Molecule: non-coding RNA, 115 nt
Organism: Triticum urartu
Lineage: Eukaryota; Viridiplantae; Streptophyta; Magnoliopsida; Poales; Poaceae
Source: Rfam